UUAAGCAAAGAAGAGCGCAGGGUGGAUGCCUUGGCACUAAGAGCCGAAGAAAGACGUGAUAAGCUGCGAAAAGCUGCGGGGAGAUGCAAAUAAUCGUUGAUCCGCAGAUGUCUGAAUGGGGAAACCCGGUACGAAGAACUCGUAUCAUCCAUACGCCAAUCCAUAACGUAUGGAGGGGAACCCGGUGAACUGAAACAUCUAAGUAGCCGGAGGAAGAGAAAGAAACAUCGAUUUUGUUAGUAGCGGCGAGCGAAAGCGAAAGAGGCCAAACCGGAGUGCGUGCACUCCGGGGUUCGGACCGCAUUUAAGAUUCAGUAAUCCUAGCAGAAAGGUUUGGGAAAGCCUGCCGGAGAGGGUGAAAGCCCCGUAAGCGAAAGGAGAGCUGACUGAGCGGAAUCCAGAGUACAUCGAGACACGAGAAACCUUGAUGGAAUGAGCGGGGACCACCCCGUAAGCCUAAAUACUACUUAGUGACCGAUAGCGCAUAGUACUGUGAAGGAAAGGUGAAAAGGACCCCGGGAGGGGAGUGAAAGAGAACCUGAAACCCUGUGUUUACAAGCUGUGGAAGUUCUUUAAAUGAACAACCGCGUACUUUUUGUAGAACGGUCCGGCGAGUUGCGGAUACUGGCAAGGUUAAGCACUUAAGGUGCGGAGCCGAAGGGAUACCAAGUCUUAACAGGGCGUUAAGUCAGUAUACGCAGACCCGAAACCGGGUGAUCUAUCCAUGUCCAGGUUGAAGUUGUCGUAAAAGACAAUGGAGGACCGAAGCCACAUCCGUUGAAAAGGGUGGGCAUGAGGUGUGGAUAGGGGAGAAAUUCCAAUCGAACCCGGAGAUAGCUGGUUCUCCUCGAAAUAGCUUUAGGGCUAGCCUCGAUUUAGUCUUAUGGAGGUAGAGCACUGAAUUUCCGCGGGGGCGUCAAAGCUUACCAAAGAAUAUCAAACUCCGAAUGCCAUGUAGAUGAUGAUCGGGAGUCAGACUGCACGAGAUAAGUUGGGCAGUCAAAAGGGAAAGAGCCCAGACCACCGGCUAAGGUCCCAAAGUGCGUGUUAAGUGGAAAAGGAUGUGGGAAUUCGAAGACAACUAGGAUGUUGGCUCAGAAGCAGCCAUACAUUCAAAGAGUGCGUAACAGCUCACUAGUCGAGAGUUCCUGCGCCGAAAAUGUCCGGGGCUGAAACACGACACCGAAGCCGUGGACUCGCAAUGCGAGUGGUAGAGGAGCAUUCUUAAAACCGACGAAGCUGUACCGAAAGGAGCAGUGGAGGGAUAAGAAGAGAGAAUGCCGGAAUGAGUAGCGAGAGAAAGGUGGGAAUCCUUUCGGCCGAAUAUCUAAGGUUUCCAGAGUAAAGCUGAUCUGCUCUGGGUAAGUCGGGGCCUAAGCACAGGUCGCAAGACGUAAGCGAUGGAUAACAGGUUUAGAUUCCUGUACCACGCAUUAUCAGAACUGUAGGGACGCAUGUGGAAAGCACGAGCCGGGAAUGGAAAGACCGGUACAAGCGAGGUAGGUGUACGAUAGGCAAAUCCGUCGUAUAAUCCGAAGACGUGAUGUGGAGCGAAAUAAAGUAGCGAAGCGUGUGAGCCAUGUGCCGAGAAAAGCUGCUAUUGUGUAAUGCGUGCCCGUACCGUAAACCGACACAGGUGGAUGAGGAGAGAAUCCUAAGGCCGACGGAAGAAGCAUUGUUAAGGAAUUCGGCAAAAUGACCCCGUAACUUCGGGAGAAGGGGUGCCUGCGAGAGCAGGCCGCAGAGAAUAGGCUCAAGCAACUGUUUAGCAAAAACACAGGUCUAUGCGAAACCGAAAGGUGAAGUAUAUGGGCUGACGCCUGCCCGGUGCUGGAAGGUUAAGAGGAGAGGUUAGCGUAAGCGAAGCUUUGAAUUUAAGCCCCAGUAAACGGCGGCCGUAACUAUAACGGUCCUAAGGUAGCGAAAUUCCUUGUCGGGUAAGUUCCGACCCGCACGAAAGGCGUAAUGAUUUGAGCACUGUCUCGACAAUGCAUCCGGUGAAAUUGAAGUACCAGUGAAGAUGCUGGUUACCCGCGCCAGGACGGAAAGACCCCAUGGAGCUUUACUCCAGUUUGAUACUGGGAUUCGGUACUGCA
This 2096-nucleotide ribosomal RNA is filed under the name gut metagenome. RNAcentral's name for it is "bacterial LSU rRNA". It matches the Rfam family "Bacterial large subunit ribosomal RNA", at positions 3 to 2134 of the family's 2925-position model. The record is from RNAcentral.